GAUGAACGCUAGCUACAGGCUUAACACAUGCAAGUCGAGGGGCAGCAUUGGAGUAGCAAUACUUCAGAUGGCGACCGGCGCACGGGUGAGUAACACGUAUCCAACCUGCCGCUUACUCGGGGAUAGCCUUUCGAAAGAAAGAUUAAUACCCGAUGGUAUAAAGAGUUCGCAUGUUCUCUUUAUUAAAGAAUUUCGGUAAGCGAUGGGGAUGCGUUCCAUUAGAUAGUUGGCGGGGUAACGGCCCACCAAGUCUACGAUGGAUAGGGGUUCUGAGAGGAAGGUCCCCCACAUUGGAACUGAGACACGGUCCAAACUCCUACGGGAGGCAGCAGUGAGGAAUAUUGGUCAAUGGGCGAGAGCCUGAACCAGCCAAGUAGCGUGAGGGAUGACUGCCCUAUGGGUUGUAAACUUCUUUUAUAAGGGAAUAAAGUGAGGGACGUGUCCCUUUUUGUAUGUACCUUAUGAAUAAGGAUCGGCUAACUCCGUG
This 487-nucleotide ribosomal RNA is filed under the name uncultured bacterium. RNAcentral describes it as "bacterial SSU rRNA". It matches the Rfam family "Bacterial small subunit ribosomal RNA", at positions 28 to 507 of the family's 1533-position model. The record is from RNAcentral.